GACGUAGGGGCGAGCGUUGUCCGGAAUUACUGGGCGUAAAGAGCACGCAGGCGGGAACCUAAGUCAGGUGUGAAAGACCGUGGCUCAACCACGGGGUGGCAUUUGAAACUGGGUUUCUUGAGGGCAGGAGAGGAGAGCAGAAUUCCUGGUGUAGCGGUGAAAUGCGUAGAAAUCAGGAGGAAUACCAGUGGCGAAGGCGGCUUUCUGGACUGACCCUGACGCUGAGGUGCGAAAGCGUGGGUAGCAAACAGGAUUAGAUACCCUGGUAGUCCCUGA
RNAcentral lists this ribosomal RNA (276 nucleotides) under uncultured prokaryote. RNAcentral describes it as "partial 16S ribosomal RNA". It matches the Rfam family "Bacterial small subunit ribosomal RNA", at positions 524 to 800 of the family's 1533-position model. The record is from RNAcentral.